CGCGGGGCAGGAAGGGCGGAAGCGCGCGCGGGCGGCCAUGGAGGCGGCGUCGGUGCCGGCCGCCUCGGCGUCGGGCGCGGCGGUGCGCGGGCCCAUCAAGGGUAUCCUCAAGAAGGGCGGCAGCGGCGGCAGCAAGAUAUCGACGGGGGGAGCGGCUCCCGGGGCGCGGCGGGCCAGCCCGGCCCGCGAGGAGGACGAGCACGGUAAAAAAUCCCAGAAGUGGGAUGAAAUGAACAUCAUAGCUACCUACCACCCAGCAGGCAAAGAUUAUGGCUUGAUGAAAAUAGAUGAGCCAAGUACUCCUUAUCACAGCAUGGUGGGAGAAGAUGAUGAGGAUGCAGUGAGCGAUUCAGAAUCAAAUGAGCCUUUAAAAGCAGAUGUGUUAAGUAAAAAACUGGCAGCUGCAGCUGAAGGUAAAGGACCCAAGAUUAUUGCAAGGCAAGAAGAAAGCAGUGAGGAGGAGGAAGAGGACGAAGAACUAACACCCGAAGAACGAGAGAAAAAGAAACAGUUUGAAAUGAAGAGAAAAAUGCACUAUAACGAAGGACGAAACAUCAAACUGGCAAGACAGCUCAUUGCGAAGGAGCUGCAUGGUGAAGAAGAGGAUGAUGAUGAAGAUGAAGAGAUGCAUGAUGCUGCAGAUGUAGAAACAAUGAAUACAGAAGCUGCCGAACAUGGGGAACGGAGGGCUCCAGUAGGCAUGACCUUUCUCCAUGGUUUGAAGCUGCCAUCUCUCUGCUCUCUGCUGUAAAACAGAGGCAACUCCGCUCCCCAGCUGCAUUCGCCAGUGGAAGGAAGGCACACCUUUGCAGCAUUUUUCCAUUUCUGUUGUUGAAGCCCAUUCCACCUUGCCUCAUAACCAGCUUCAGAGCCACAACUGACUGAGAUUUCUUGCGGAUUGAGAUGAAGAUGGCUAGGCCAGUCAGUGAUGCACAUGCUACUCGUGACCAGCGGGAAAGUAGAGCACACAGCAUAGAAGAAAUCUGUCCAGAACUGUAACUGCUUGUCAAAGACACAAAUAUAAACAUCGCUUCAUGAUUUUUGCAAUUAAGGCUCUUGCAUAUUGAGAAGCAUAUCAGUUACAAUGUUGUAUUGCCAAGAAUUUUAAUUUUAGACUUGUCCAUUAGGCAGAAAAAAUCCUGUCUAAUUGAUUUAUUCUUGUGCCUAGUAUUUCAAGGAGAAUACUGCUUCAUAAUCUGUUCAACCACAAUGGCGUUCCCUGUAUGUAUUAUGCUGAUAAACUUGCAUAAUGUACUGUUAUUCUUCAUGCUUUGAAACAGUAUCUUUUGGUUUUUCACUAUUUAUUUGACGGUGUUCUAGGUGUGGUAUCUCUUGUGGAAAGGUUUGGGCUUCAAGAGCAAAACGGUACAGCAUAUAUCAGACUUACAUGCGGGCUAUUUAACAGAUGUGUUAAGCAGUUUAAAAAGGGAUUAUUUAAGUCUUACAACCUUUUUGUAAAAUGUUGACUUGUUUAUCUAGAUUUCAGCACGUUAUUACAUGUACUUUCCCAGUCUUUAGAAGAACAGCUGUAUCUUUUUAAGAGUGGUGUUUGGAAUCAGUUUCUGACUAAGGCAGUACUAAUGGUGGAGUGAAUGUUUUUACACUGGAAAUGUGCUAACUUGAACUUUGCAUUUAACUGUCAUUCUUUAUUCCAUUGGGACUGGAUGUUUUGUGGAGCCUUCUGGUUUAUCACAAGAAUAUAGAAGCUCCCUCCAACUGUUCUCUUAAAACAACAUCCACUGUCACUCCUCUGGCUCUUUUUCAAAGUUUUGGUCCUUUCCAGUUGCAUGAAGAGUGCUUGUGCUACUAGCACCUUAGGGAGAACACCCAAUUUAACCAAAUCUACAUCAGGACUGUGACAAUGAGUUUAGGCUUUUGCUGUUCUUCAUACAAAGAGAACUGAUGGUGAUCUUCUGUCCAUUUGGGGUUAGUAACCUGCAUACUGAAAACCACUGGUCUAAAUCUUCCUAUAUCCAUUGCAACUUACAGCAGCUGCUUUUGUAGAAUGAAGGCUGUUUGAAAGAACAGAAAGGAAACUGCCUAAUUCAAGUACUUGUUUACAGCCCCUGUAAAGAUGAAAUCUGAACCUCCAAAUCGUUAUGAACAACUUCCCACUCGAUGGAAUUUGACUGGUGAAUGUUUCGGUAUUCAGAUUAGUUCCUGAUUUUUGUUACACAAAUGAAGUAUACACUUACACUUCAGUUUGGUUAUGGAAUACAGUGUAUAUCUUAAUUUUGAUCUGAAUAUGAUAUGUUUAAAAAAAUCCAUAUAAUUAUAUGGAUCUAUUUUAAAAUAUCUCUUUGUCAACUGUAUAUGUGAAGUUUGAAUAAAGGAAUGAAAGUUAUUUUCCAGUUUCACAUUUUCAAGUGUGAGCUUUCAUGAAAUCCCAGAGAGAUUGAGAGUAAGGCAAUAGGAUGAUGUCCUUUGAAAGGUUUAUACAGAAAUGAUUCAUUGGAAUGGACGCAUUACCAAAGAUACCUGUGAGUUGUGCUAAUUGGGUGUUGCAGUGUGCCUUUCCCAUCUAUCUCCCCUCCUUAGUAGGUAACAGGGUUGGCAGUUGUGGGAUAUUUAGUCCUCUAAGGGCCUGAAUCAGGAUCAGUAGCGUCUUUUCAGAAGGAAGAGUUGAACUUUGGAUUCAGUCCAGUGUGUCGGUGCUGAUUUUUCCAAGAUGGAGAAUGCUGUUUCUUGUAUUGAGCAUGGUCACUUCUAGAGAAUAAAUAGGGCCAAAGAGUAAGCAUUUAGAUACUUCUGACUUCUAAGGUCACUUACUGUAGCAUUAGAUUUGGCUCCCAAGAAUAGGAUUUCAAAAUGUAAAGUUUGCACCGUUUCUGUACCAGCUUGCGGUGUUCAGCCCAUUGGAACAUCUGCGCUGACUUGUAUUGCAGCCCAGCCUGUCUGCCCCAGUGAAGGCAGUGGAGUCCUGCUGAGAGUGUGGCAGCAUUUGGCAGAGCUGUGUUGUUUUCAGGCUGGAGCACUAAUGGGUCAAGAUUUGACCAGUUGGUAUGGGUAAUGCAGAUGUCUUCUAUGAUGCUGUUAAACAGAUCACUUGUACUUUGUGGUAAGUACAAGUAGGUACUUCGUACCCACAAUUAAAGCUGAAUCCCUCAGAAGCAGCUCUUAUAUGAGCUAAUGUCCUGCUCUCCUUUGUUCCACGCUUCUGGUGUCCAGGACCUCAUUUUCAUUUUGGCAUUGAGUGGGGUAAUUUUGUAACCUACAAUGCCUGCAAAGCAUUUUGUUUAACAAACAAAAAAAGCCUUUGCUAUCUUCCAGUAAAGACCUUUCCUGGAAUUGCUCCCAAAAUCUUGGAUGAAAUAGGUGUGCAACUUUGAGGGAGCUACAGUAGAUGUAAAUCUGUUUUAUCUCAGAAUGUGUAGUAGGUAUUUUCAUCAGUCAGAUGAUUGUGAGCUGUCUGGGUGGUGUCCCUUCUUCUGUGCCAUCAAACCCCCAAGUGAUAUUUAGAUGCUGGUUUGGAACUUUGCUUUUAGUGGUGGGUUUUAUUCAAGGUUUUGUUCUCAUCUCUUUUCAAUGCUAGCAAAAAUUCUGUUAUUGCUUCAUCUUGGUCACCUGGAGUGCAACCCAAUGCUGCUUUUAAUGGAAAGUCUGGUUUACUUGAUUUUAUCCAGGCUUACACCUUCGUGGUUUUAAAAAGCUAAAGUAGGCAAGUUUACUCCACAGUGACGAGAGAUGCUCUAUAUUGCUUUUUUUUUACAAAGGGAUGUCUGAUUUCCUUCUACUGUGGAAAUAUCAAUUAUAGUUCCUCACUGAAUGGGGAUGAGAGAAGAAAUGCAUUUUCGUUUUUUACAUUUGAUGGGGACUUAGCCUGCGUGCAGGUCUUGAUGAGUGCAAAUGGCAAAAGCUUAUUCAAGAGGAAACAAGCCACGCAGCCCUUACUGAUGGGGACAUGGAGCUCCACAGCAUCAUCACAGUAAAGCUUCUUGCACAGGUCUAAGUCCUCACACUGCAUCCUGUUUAUAGAGAAAAUAAUUUCAGUAUGCUUCCACUAGGAAGAUGACUUGGGAAUAAGAGCCUUAACUCCAUCUUUGAAGUUUUUUCCUAUCCUUAUGAGUUUCUUUCAGGCCGGGUUGCCGAAGAUUCAUGGAAACUGCAAAUACUUUUUUUCACAGCUUGCUCUCCUCUGUUGAAUUUGUGUAUCUUGCCAGAACUUCUGUAACAUGCUUUUUGAGGUGUUUAUUACCAUACCUCCUCACAACUGUAAUUACUCUGUUUGAAACCAGUGUUAAGUGUCACAAUGUAAA
Molecule: RNA transcript, 4256 nt
Organism: Cuculus canorus (common cuckoo)
Lineage: Eukaryota; Metazoa; Chordata; Aves; Cuculiformes; Cuculidae
Gene: PPP1R2
Gene name: protein phosphatase 1 regulatory inhibitor subunit 2
Exons: 8
Source: RefSeq, a predicted model, not a curated record